Pelobates cultripes (western spadefoot toad) is the source of this 225-nucleotide non-coding RNA. NCBI's taxonomy places the organism in Eukaryota, Metazoa, Chordata, Amphibia, Anura, Pelobatidae. The record is from the annotation of a GenBank genome assembly.
CUCUGGUUUUGGGUUCUACUAGUUUUGUCUUGUUUGGUGUCUAUCCUAGCCUUGUUUCUGUACUGGAUACAUUCUUGCUGCAGAGCCUCCCUAUUCAGCUCGUGGGAGGUCUACUUAAUUCCUGCUCCUAGUUCUUGGGAUCCGCUGUAGCUGCAUCAGGGUUCUGGUAUGUGGCCGCACAAACGCUGGUGCUCAACACCAGAGGGCGUGUGGUUACCCUGCACU